Long non-coding RNA from Bombus huntii, 4912 nucleotides. RefSeq lists it as uncharacterized. NCBI's taxonomy places the organism in Eukaryota, Metazoa, Arthropoda, Insecta, Hymenoptera, Apidae. The transcript has 3 exons. The record is from RefSeq and is a predicted model, not a curated record.
GGAUGGUUGCAUGUGUAUUGAGGACGAGAUUACAAUAAAGUGAGUCUUGUGAGAGACACUCUUUCUUGGAAGAGACUAAGAUUGGAAAUAUUAAAUUAUUAAUAAACAAAGAGUAUUUUUUGGUCUGUUAAGAAAAUAUAUUUAUACGUUCUUAAGUUCUUCUGUAUAUACAAUAAAAGUCAAACCAAAUAAAACAACACCAAACUAAAGCCGAGCAGCGGUAACGUAUAUAAGUAAAAGUUGUUCAAAGUGAUGAUCUUGACAAUAUAUUAUAUAACCCAACCUAAAUUUAACUCAUUGAUGCUAAUCACCCUUGAUGUAAUGAAAAAAAAAUAUAAUAAUAUAAUAAUGAAAGAUAUAUUAAUGGGUUAUAGAUUAGAUUAGAUAUGUAUCAACUAAAUUAUAUUGAAGCCAAGCGAUGGUAACAUAUAUGAGGAAAACGUUGUUCAGAAUUAUAAUCUUGACAACAUAUUUCAAGGUCAUCGAUAUCAUACGUGCGUUGCCUCUUUAUAAAUAAUUGCGGACGGAAAUAAUAGCAACUUAUGAGAUAAAUUUCAAAGAUAGUGUCCCUAACCUCGCCUUUUUCUGCUUUCAAAUUUAUGUAGCUGAUCAAUGUGGCUCCUGAACGAUUUAUGUUGAUAGUUGCGCACAACAACAAAGUUCCUACGUUUCACGAAUUUUUGUUUUUACGGACAGUUUUAUGGUGUGAGAAAGGAUGGCUCUAUGAUUCAUUAAAAUCACUGACACCGUUUUCGCGGAUCACAAUUCACAAAAAUACCGGAUUUCACCUGGUAAACAACAGCUUUAACUGAUUGGCAGUAUUAGCACGGAGAAAUAAGAGAGGACUUUUUACUUAAGCAUGUAGGUAUAUUGUAGCAAAUAAUUGAUAGCCGGAUGCUUUGUGACGUUCAGAUUAAGAAUACUAGCCUAAAGCUAACACAGAUCAUAAAUUUCAUAUUGACAAAAUUUAUUUAUCUGUUAGCCACCAGCUUCUGCUCUGUCUUGAGUUUCAGUUAGCGUUUUCAAUCCGGCAGCCACAAGGCAGCCAGCCAUCAAUUUCUUGCAGCGAUAAAACUACAUGCAUAGGUAACGAUCAUCUCUUAUUGUUAUAUUUUUCCAUGUUAAUACUGUCUACUAUCGGUCAAUUCCAGCAGGUCUGGUGUUGGUGAAUUCCAGCGUUGGCGAAGUCGGUGAAUUGUGAUUCGCGAAAACAGCAUCGGUGAUUUCAAUGGAACCUGACCUGUGUCACUAUAAUCAAUCAGAUCCACAUUCCUUGUUCCUGUACAAUACGUACGAUUAUAAUCUUGUUCGAGAACAUACCAACCUAAUAAAUCCAGCAAUGGUCAAAACGCAGGUUUCACUGGUCUUUCAGUGGCAGUUCCAGCUCGGCUCCAUCGUUGUCCUGUGACCGAGCAGGUGGCCAACUCGGUGGGGCUGAACAAAAUUGCAGCCAGUCCACGGGUCAAUUUUCUGUAAUCGCUCCAUUUCACAGCCCUUAGUUGUUCCUCGCAAACUGCUAUUCCCUCUCCCAAAUGCACCUGUCGAACACAUGUUUGUCAAAGUUUCAAAGAAAAAGAAAGCCAACAUGUUUAUGCUAAUUUCUAAUCCAGGAAAAUAGGUACAAAAAUAAUACAUAUAGUAUAUAUAUUACAGGUGCAGUGUUUGAGUUCUGCGCGUGAGUCAAAAAUGCAUGUAGGUGUUGCAAAUCGCAGAUGCUGAUCUAAAAAAAAAAAUGAUGCUUUUGUAUUAAAACAAGGAAGAAAUUAAAACAUAUCUUAAGGAAGGAAAGUUUUAAAGGAACGUAAUAGAAUUUUCAGAUACAGAUAAAUAUAGGAACAAUAUUAAUAUUAUUGCAAUGAAAUGACAUGGUGCCCAUUUCUGUGACCUUGAACUCUAUACGAAGGCAGGAAACCGUAUGACAAGCAUUCACUUUCUUCGUAAACAUGUUUUUUUCAAAAUUCAAUGGAAUUUACAUAUUUUUUCAAUGUAAGUAUAUAGUACACUAAUAUGGACACUAUGAAUAGAGUUUCAAGAGAUAAUUACAUUUUUAUAAAUAAUUAAUUUAUAUUAUGUGUCAGGCUCUGUCAGACAAUAAGAAACUAUGAAAUAUAGUAUGCUACCAUUGCAUUAUAUUAAAGUCUUUUCAUACUCUCUUUUUUCUUUUUAGUUUUCUGCCUUCCUGAAGCGCAAUAGAAUUUUUCUCCUGCAACGUUCUUUCGCUGAUUUGCCACCCAGCGAUAUUUUUUAACAGUAACAAAUAUUUCAAAUUCGUAGAGUUGUUACAAUUACGCUGUUCACAAUGUUCUAAUGAAAAUUUCUACCGUGUUAAAACCCCGUUACAUUUAUAUAUAUAAAUAACAGUUAUCGCAUUAAUAGAAAAUUAAUCUGCUAGUGUUAAAUACUAAUUCUUUGAGAAAAGGGAGGAAGGAAUAAUUUUGAGUCAACGUUAUACUCAUUUUGAUCCUUGAAAGAUGUGAAGAUAAAUAGAGCAUUAAUUAGGUCUGUCUUGUUUAAUAGAUUAACAUCUUAAUAGGAUGUGAAGGUUACGCUAUCUCAAAGUGAAAACCGAUAUCCUCAUCCAGAGAACACUGUAUUAAUCCUUUCACUAUGGAAGCUUAUCUGCGAAAUUAUAAUGAAUCUGGCACAAAUGUUCAAUUACUUAAAGCAUACUGAAUUAAUCAGAAUCAGAGUUUUAUAUAAUUGAAUGACCGUUUCACAUUAAUCAGACGAUUACAAACGUUUAUAAUUUUCUUGCAACGACUAAAAAUAAAUUUUGGUGCAGAAAGUGUAAUUCAAAAAUUUCUUAAUUUCGAUAUAAAAAUACGUAAUUAAUUCAUGUUUAAUUUCUCAACCAAAUUUCCACGGAAAUGAUCAAUUUGAUCGUUGAGUGAUUCGGUUGAAAACAGAUUCACUUGCUAGUUAUAUAUUUUCAUAAUAUUAAUUUAUAUUUAAUUUACAGUUUAUUUAGAUGCCAUCAAAGUGUUCUUCGCUCUAUCUAUAAAAAGACGUAGCUACCAUCGCUCGAAAGUAUUCCACAUAAUUUAACUACAAUAUUACACACAGUUAGCAGGGAUUUCGUCUCGAGUACGGUAAAGCUACCUAUAUUAAUAUUAUUUAAUAAGAAGAACAAAGGUAUUGGGUUCAUGAAAUUUUCAAAUGACAGAACAAUCACGCGUUUGAUAUUCCGUCUGCUGUUACAGUUCACGUAAAAAUUAUAUGUUCUUUAUUUAUAAUUUUAUCGUAAAUUAUUCGUUUGGUAAAUUAACAGUAAGAAUUGUACCAUUAUCUGUAUAUACUUGUACAAACGAUUAUUCGUAUUAUUCGAAUAAUUCUGCGCUCGUUAUUCGAAUAAGUGUAUGAAACAAUUGAUUACGGACAACGAAUAAUUACUUCACUGACAAAAUACUCGACUAAUAUGAAUUUAUCCCGAUAGUCUUGGAUAAAUAUUCAUUUGAAACGAUUCGAAUAAUGAACAAUUCGCCCGACUCUGUAACUGUAGAAUUUAUAAUUUAAUGUAAAAUGUAACUGGAGAAUUAAUAAAGUUGUACUAUUAAUAGGAACCUACCAAACUAUCUAGAUAUUUCCGAGCGAUAGUGUACAGAGGUAUUUCCAGUUUAACCGUUUGCUGGCCAACUCCGCCGUAGCGGAAGAGUUAAAGGUAACAGUAAAUAGAAAAAUAAGGAGAAGAUAAACACGUAGUGAGUGAAGAAAUAAAUAUAUACGUAUAAGAACCAUGGUCCAACGAAAACAAGCAAAAACAGUAAAUAAUGUACAGUACAUAAAUACACAGUAAAUAACUGUAAAAGUAGAUAAAUUGCUGUGAACGAUAAGAAGGUAAGAAAAUAUAAAGUCUUCACAGUUAGAUCAAUAAGUGUGCAGACGACUAUGAAAAUGGUGUAAAAUUGAAAGAAGUUGAAUUUUUGUUUUUGCAUGACAAAUUUUUCACUCGAGUCACUUCCGGCAUCACCGACGCAGAUGCGGAAGCAAGAAAAUUGAAUGUUGAAAGAAAAUUAGUAUUUCAAAGUGUUAGAGGAUGCAAAAACACGAACGCGAGACUCAAGCAACUUGCGUCAAUAAAUUAUUACAGCUCUUUAAGACAAGCGGAUAAGAAAAGAACGUAGAGGACAGGUAACUGCCUUUAAUUAAGGAUGAUAAAGAAGAAAAUAAUUUCUGGAAUAAUUUGGAGUGAAACAGCCUCAGGGCGUAUGAUAUUAACAAUUAGCAAGCGCAGAAAAAGAUUCAGUGAAAAUAAACAGAAGCAAAGCGAAGGAGGAAAAUGACACGGUAAUUUGCACGUAUAUUAUGCUAGCUAGAUUAUGCGCCAAUUAAAUAUUCUUCUUGGCGCUGCAUUAAUGUAGGUGAAUUAAUUCCUUUACGUAGCAUAUGUGACGACAACGUUUUCAUAAAAAACUAGUUGAAUUAUUUCAGAAAAGGGAUACUCUUAAGUGAACAAAUUACGUUAAGAAUAUUCGCAAAUCAGAUAACAGGUUGGCUUUUCUAGUUAACAGGUUAAGAAGAAAGACAGUCGUUUAAACGAAAGGAAAUGUCUUUGAAAAUUUUGUGAAAAUAUACAGUGUGUCCAGUUUAUCUCAAAACAUGCGAAUGAUGAAGAUAUGAAAAAAACUUUUCAAACAAAAAUUCCACGAUAUCGAGGAGAAUAUACUAUAUAGUCUUGUGUAUUUGACCUUGUAGUGACCUUGAAACUCUCUGCGAAAGACGUUAAAAUUGUCUAAUGGAUAGCUUUAUCUUUCAGUAGAUUUUCUUGUAACUGGAAUUCAGACGUUUUCGAAACGCUACAGACUCGUGUCUUUUGCACCAGGUUUCAAGGUCGAAUACACCAGAGUAUAGUAAACUCGCCUCGAUGUCCCGCAACUUUCGUCUGGAACAUCUUUUUGCACAAUCUAUAUUUUUC